GCUGACUUAGCUCAGUUGGCAGAGCACGUCACUAGUAAUGAUGAGGUCGGAGGUUCGAAUCCAAUUAAUCCGCU
Molecule: transfer RNA, 74 nt
Filed under: Lactobacillus amylovorus
Lineage: Bacteria; Bacillati; Bacillota; Bacilli; Lactobacillales; Lactobacillaceae
Description: tRNA-Thr (AGT) (tRNA-Thr-AGT-1-1)
Rfam family: tRNA
About the family: Transfer RNA (tRNA) molecules are approximately 80 nucleotides in length. Their secondary structure includes four short double-helical elements and three loops (D, anti-codon, and T loops). Further hydrogen bonds mediate the characteristic L-shaped molecular structure. tRNAs have two regions of fundamental functional importance: the anti-codon, which is responsible for specific mRNA codon recognition, and the 3' end, to which the tRNAs corresponding amino acid is attached (by aminoacyl-tRNA synthetases). tRNAs cope with the degeneracy of the genetic code in two manners: having more than one tRNA (with a specific anti-codon) for a particular amino acid; and 'wobble' base-pairing, i.e. permitting non-standard base-pairing at the 3rd anti-codon position.
Source: RNAcentral